UAACCGCGUUUGAUCUUCCGCAACUCACCCUCUCUCACCUUUCCCUCGUCUUUCUACUGCUGCUUUUUUUUUUUUUUUUCUCUCUAAACUCUGGAGGGUUUUUUGUUGAUACUACGCCUUCCAUUUGCCAUUACGAGUAAUAACAAGGAUGGAUUCGACAUGGCUGAUCUCGGCGCUGCCCUUUCUCCUGCUGCUACUGCUGGACAUUGAGGUGAACAACCAGAAGGUUAAGGUGCAUUGUGGCAAUGUCUCCGUAUUUGAACGCUUACCUGAUUGUGCCAAAAUUUAAGUGGAUACAGGAACUCCUUUGGCUUCAGAAAUGUGUUUGUGAGUGUGUGGUUUCUAAAGGUGCAAGGAUCUAUGCAGGAUAACAGAACUAGAAACAAGGUGGCAAUGUUGGUUGGAAAAUGGGAUGAGCAAAAUGUAUUGUGUUGGGAGAUCCUACUAUAAAGCCAAAGGGGUACUAUCCCAUGUCAGAAGCUAUGUUGUUAUGGAAAUGAGACAAAUCAGUCACUCAAACAUGAUACAACUUAACACCUUUUGCAAUUAUUUUGAAUGAAUUGACACUUGACCUAUUGGAGAAGUUGCCUCCAACUGAUUCCAGACUCAGGCCAGAUCAGAGGCUUUUGGAGAAUGGGGAAUAUGAACUAGCAAAUGUAUAGAAGCUUAGACUUGAACAGCUACAGAGACAGGUUCAACCAAUAUGUUAAGUGGAUUUGCAUUGGAAGAUGUGCUACAUUAUUAGAGAAUUUGAUUAUUUUUUUUAAGUUUUUGUACUAUUUAUAUGUCAACUGGAUAUUGUAUUUGAACAAUGUCUUUUGGAUAUUUUAAUAUAUAAUCUUUGAAUUAAUAGAUUUCAUUUUAAA
Long non-coding RNA from Nelumbo nucifera (sacred lotus), 866 nucleotides. RefSeq lists it as uncharacterized. The record is from RefSeq and is a predicted model, not a curated record. NCBI's taxonomy places the organism in Eukaryota, Viridiplantae, Streptophyta, Magnoliopsida, Proteales, Nelumbonaceae.